UCCGUAGGUUGAAACUUGCGGAGUGAUCAUUACCGAGUUAUACAACUCAUCAACCCUGUGAACAUACCUAAAACGUUGCCUCGGCGGGAACAGACGGCCCCGUAACACGGGCCGCCCCCGCCAGAGGACCCCCUAACUCUGUUUCUAUAAUGUUUCUUCUGAGUAAACAAGCAAAUAAAUUAAAACUUUCAACAACGGAUCUCUUGGCUCUGGCAUCGAUGAAGAACGCAGCGAAAUGCGAUAAGUAAUGUGAAUUGCAGAAUUCAGUGAAUCAUCGAAUCUUUGAACGCACAUUGCGCCCGCCAGUAUUCUGGCGGGCAUGCCUGUUCGAGCGUCAUUACAACCCUCAGGCCCCCGGGCCUGGCGUUGGGGAUCGGCGGAAGCCCCCUGCGGGCACAACGCCGUCCCCCAAAUACAGUGGCGGUCCCGCCGCAGCUUCCAUUGCGUAGUAGCUAACACCUCGCAACUGGAGAGCGGCGCGGCCACGCCGUAAAACACCCAACUUCUGAAUGUUGACCUCGAAUCAGGUAGGAAUACCCGCUGAACUUAAGCAUAUCAUAUAAACGCGAAGAAA
This 574-nucleotide ribosomal RNA is filed under the name Fusarium oxysporum f. sp. ciceris. RNAcentral's name for it is "eukaryotic LSU rRNA". The stretch from base 184 to 337 matches the Rfam family "5.8S ribosomal RNA". The record is from RNAcentral. Lineage: Eukaryota; Fungi; Ascomycota; Sordariomycetes; Hypocreales; Nectriaceae.